Molecule: unclassified non-coding RNA, 348 nt
Filed under: soil metagenome
Description: partial contains 5.8S ribosomal RNA, internal transcribed spacer 2, and large subunit ribosomal RNA
Rfam family: 5.8S ribosomal RNA (bases 1-120)
Source: RNAcentral
GAUGAAGAACGUAGCGAAAUGCGAUAAGUAAUGUGAAUUGCAGAAUUCCGUGAAUCAUCGAAUUUUUGAACGCACAUUGCGCCCGCUGGUAUUCCGGCGGGCAUGCCUGUUCGAGCGUCAUUUCAACCCUCAAGCCCCCGGGUUUGGUGUUGGGGAUCGGCUCUGCCCUUCUGGGCGGUGCCGCCCCCGAAAUACAUUGGCGGUCUCGCUGCAGCCUCCAUUGCGUAGUAGCUAACACCUCGCAACUGGAACGCGGCGCGGCCAUGCCGUAAAACCCCAACUUCUGAAUGUUGACCUCGGAUCAGGUAGGAAUACCCGCUGAACUUAAGCAUAUCAAUAAGCGGAGGA